GGCUACGAGAGAGUUCUCUGGGUCCACCUCCCACCCGUGUUUAUUUACCUUGUUGCUUCGGCGGGCCCGCCUUAACUGGCCGCCGGGGGGCUCACGCCCCCGGGCCCGCGCCCGCCGAAGACACCCUCGAACUCUGUCUGAAGAUUGUAGUCUGAGUGAAAAUAUAAAUUAUUUAAAACUUUCAACAACGGAUCUCUUGGUUCCGGCAUCGAUGAAGAACGCAGCGAAAUGCGAUACGUAAUGUGAAUUGCAAAUUCAGUGAAUCAUCGAGUCUUUGAACGCACAUUGCGCCCCCUGGUAUUCCGGGGGGCAUGCCUGUCCGAGCGUCAUUGCUGCCCUCAAGCACGGCUUGUGUGUUGGGCCCCGUCCUCCGAUUCCGGGGGACGGGCCCGAAAGGCAGCGGCGGCACCGCGUCCGGUCCUCGAGCGUAUGGGGCUUUGUCACCCGCUCUGUAGGCCCGGCCGGCGCUUGCCGAUCAACCCAAAUUUUUAUCCAGGUUGACCUCGGAUCAGGUAGGGAUACCCGCUGAACUUAAGCAUAUCAAUAAGCGGAGGAAGUUCGAUAGUGAACCCUCUCCAACAGCCUCCCACGAGUUCUAUUUAAAUGCUGAUUAAGCGGACCCGUAGAAUGGACCUCGGGGGGGCUCAGCCC
Molecule: ribosomal RNA, 651 nt
Filed under: Penicillium camemberti
Lineage: Eukaryota; Fungi; Ascomycota; Eurotiomycetes; Eurotiales; Aspergillaceae
Description: eukaryotic LSU rRNA
Rfam family: 5.8S ribosomal RNA (bases 177-329)
Source: RNAcentral